AAUAGAUACCCCGGUAGUCCACCCCGUAAACGUUGGGAACUAGUUGUGGGGUCCUUUCCACGGAUUCCGUGACGCAGCUAACGCAUUAAGUUCCCCGCCUGGGGAGUACGGCCGCAAGGCUAAAACUCAAAGGAAUUGACGGGGACCCGCACAAGCGGCGGAGCAUGCGGAUUAAUUCGAUGCAACGCGAAGAACCUUACCAAGGCUUGACAUACACCAGAACACCCUAGAAAUAGGGGACUCUUUGGACACUGGUGAACAGGUGGUGCAUGGUUGUCGUCAGCUCGUGUCGUGAGAUGUUGGGUUAAGUCCCGCAACGAGCGCAACCCUCGUUCUAUGUUGCCAGCACGUAAUGGUGGGAACUCAUGGGAUACUGCCGGGGUCAACUCGGAGGAAGGUGGGGAUGACGUCAAAUCAUCAUGCCCCUUAUGUCUUGGGCUUCACGCAUGCUACAAUGGCCGGUACAAAGGGCUGCAAUACCGUGAGGUGGAGCGAAUCCCAAAAACGCCGGUCCCAGUUCGGAUUGAGGUCUGCAACUCGACCUCAUGAA
Molecule: ribosomal RNA, 550 nt
Filed under: uncultured bacterium
Lineage: Bacteria
Description: bacterial SSU rRNA
Rfam family: Bacterial small subunit ribosomal RNA
Source: RNAcentral